UACGUAGGGGGGCUAGCGUUGUCCGGAAUCAUUGGGCGUAAAGCGCGCGUAGGCGGCCAGAUAAGUCCGGUGUGAAAGUCACAGGCUCAACCUGUGAAUGCCGCUGGAAACUGUCUGGCUAGAGUCCGGAAGGGGCGAGUGGAAUUCCUGGUGUAGCGGUGAAAUGCGCAGAUAUCAGGAGGAACACCGGUGGCGAAGGCGGUUCUCUGGGCAUGUCCUGACGCUGAGGAGCGAAAGUGUGGGGAGCGAACAGG
Molecule: ribosomal RNA, 254 nt
Filed under: uncultured bacterium
Lineage: Bacteria
Description: partial 16S ribosomal RNA
Rfam family: Bacterial small subunit ribosomal RNA
Source: RNAcentral